AUGAACGCUAGCUACAGGCUUAACACAUGCAAGUCGAGGGGCAGCAUGGUCUUAGCUUGCUAAGGCCGAUGGCGACCGGCGCACGGGUGAGUAACACGUAUCCAACCUGCCGUCUACUCUUGGACAGCCUUCUGAAAGGAAGAUUAAUACAAGAUGGCAUCAUGAGUCCGCAUGUUCACAUGAUUAAAGGUAUUCCGGUAGACGAUGGGGAUGCGUUCCAUUAGAUAGUAGGCGGGGUAACGGCCCACCUAGUCUUCGAUGGAUAGGGGUUCUGAGAGGAAGGUCCCCCACAUUGGAACUGAGACACGGUCCAAACUCCUACGGGAGGCAGCAGUGAGGAAUAUUGGUCAAUGGGCGAGAGCCUGAACCAGCCAAGUAGCGUGAAGGAUGACUGCCCUAUGGGUUGUAAACUUCUUUUAUAAAGGAAUAAAGUCGGGUAUGGAUACCCGUUUGCAUGUACUUUAUGAAUAAGGAUCGGCUAACUCCGUGCCAGCAGCCGCGGUAAUACGGAGGAUCCGAGCGUUAUCCGGAUUUAUUGGGUUUAAAGGGAGCGUAGAUGGAUGUUUAAGUCAGUUGUGAAAGUUUGCGGCUCAACCGUAAAAUUGCAGUUGAUACUGGAUAUCUUGAGUGCAGUUGAGGCAGGCGGAAUUCGUGGUGUAGCGGUGAAAUGCUUAGAUAUCACGAAGAACUCCGAUUGCGAAGGCAGCCUGCUAAGCUGCAACUGACAUUGAGGCUCGAAAGUGUGGGUAUCAAACAGGAUUAGAUACCCUGGUAGUCCACACGGUAAACGAUGAAUACUCGCUGUUUGCGAUAUACAGCAAGCGGCCAAGCGAAAGCGUUAAGUAUUCCACCUGGGGAGUACGCCGGCAACGGUGAAACUCAAAGGAAUUGACGGGGGCCCGCACAAGCGGAGGAACAUGUGGUUUAAUUCGAUGAUACGCGAGGAACCUUACCCGGGCUUAAAUUGCAGAUGAAUUACGGUGAAAGCCGUAAGCCGCAAGGCAUCUGUGAAGGUGCUGCAUGGUUGUCGUCAGCUCGUGCCGUGAGGUGUCGGCUUAAGUGCCAUAACGAGCGCAACCCUUGUUGUCAGUUACUAACAGGUUCCGCUGAGGACUCUGACAAGACUGCCAUCGUAAGAUGUGAGGAAGGUGGGGAUGACGUCAAAUCAGCACGGCCCUUACGUCCGGGGCUACACACGUGUUACAAUGGGGGGUACAGAGGGCCGCUACCACGCGAGUGGAUGCCAAUCCCAAAAACCUCUCUCAGUUCGGACUGGAGUCUGCAACCCGACUCCACGAAGCUGGAUUCGCUAGUAAUCGCGCAUCAGCCACGGCGCGGUGAAUACGUUCCCGGGCCUUGUACACACCGCCCGUCAAGCCAUGGGAGCCGGGGGUACCUGAAGUGCGUAACCGCGAGGAGCGCCCUAGGGUAAAACUGGUGA
This 1441-nucleotide ribosomal RNA is filed under the name uncultured bacterium. RNAcentral's name for it is "bacterial SSU rRNA". It matches the Rfam family "Bacterial small subunit ribosomal RNA". The record is from RNAcentral.